AACGAACGCUGGCGGCAGGCCUAACACAUGCAAGUCGAGCGCCCCGCAAGGGGAGCGGCGGACGGGUGAGUAACGCGUGGGAACGUACCCUUUGCUACGGAAUAGCCUCGGGAAACUGGGAGUAAUACCGUAUGUGUCCUUCGGGAGAAAGAUUUAUCGGCAAGGGAUCGGCCCGCGUUGGAUUAGGUAGUUGGUGGGGUAAUGGCCUACCAAGCCGACGAUCCAUAGCUGGUUUGAGAGGAUGAUCAGCCACACUGGGACUGAGACACGGCCCAGACUCCUACGGGAGGCAGCAGUGGGGAAUCUUAGACAAUGGGCGCAAGCCUGAUCUAGCCAUGCCGCGUGAGCGAUGAAGGCCUUAGGGUUGUAAAGCUCCUUCAGGGGGGAAGAUAAUGACUGUACCCCCAGAAGAAGCCCCGGCUAACUCCGUG
RNAcentral lists this ribosomal RNA (431 nucleotides) under uncultured bacterium. RNAcentral's name for it is "partial 16S ribosomal RNA". It matches the Rfam family "Bacterial small subunit ribosomal RNA", at positions 29 to 507 of the family's 1533-position model. The record is from RNAcentral.